This is a non-coding RNA of Vicugna pacos (alpaca), 127 nucleotides long. The record is from RefSeq and is a predicted model, not a curated record. Lineage: Eukaryota; Metazoa; Chordata; Mammalia; Artiodactyla; Camelidae.
UGAUGUUGGCUUUUGGAACAUUCCUUCCUCUGCAAUUUUUGAAAUGGUUUGAGAAGGAUAGGCAUUAACUCUCCUCUAAAUGUUUGGCAUAAAUCAUCUGUAAAACCAUCUGAUCCUGGACUUUUGU